UAUUGGACAAUGGGGGCAACCCUGAUCCAGCAAUGCCGCGUGUGUGAAGAAGGCCUUCGGGUUGUAAAGCACUUUCGAUGGGGAAGAAAAGCUCGGUGUUAAUACCGCCGAGUCUUGACGUUACCCAGAGAAGAAGCACCGGCUAACUCUGUGCCAGCAGCCGCGGUAAUACAGAGGGUGCAAGCGUUAAUCGGAAUUACUGGGCGAAAGCGCACGUAGGUGGUUUGGUAAGUUGGAUGUAAAUCCCCGGGCUCAACCUGGAACUGCAUUCAAUACUGCCUACAGAGAUGGAAGGAAGCGAAUUCCACAUGAGCGGUAAAUGCGAAAUGUGAGAACAUCAAUGGCAAGGAGUUCCUGGCAAUCUGACUGAGUCAGAAGGAGUGAAA
RNAcentral lists this ribosomal RNA (386 nucleotides) under uncultured bacterium. RNAcentral's name for it is "bacterial SSU rRNA". It matches the Rfam family "Bacterial small subunit ribosomal RNA", at positions 362 to 758 of the family's 1533-position model. The record is from RNAcentral.